UACGAAGGGGGCUAGCGUUGCUCGGAAUCACUGGGCGUAAAGCGCACGUAGGCGGCUUUUUAAGUCAGGGGUGAAAUCCUGGAGCUCAACUCCAGAACUGCCUUUGAUACUGGGAAGCUUGAGUCCGGGAGAGGUGAGUGGAACUCCGAGUGUAGAGGUGAAAUUCGUAGAUAUUCGGAAGAACACCAGUGGCGAAGGCGGCUCACUGGCCCGGUACUGACGCUGAGGUGCGAAAGCCAGGGGAGCGAACGGG
RNAcentral lists this ribosomal RNA (253 nucleotides) under uncultured bacterium. RNAcentral's name for it is "partial 16S ribosomal RNA". It matches the Rfam family "Bacterial small subunit ribosomal RNA", at positions 524 to 776 of the family's 1533-position model. The record is from RNAcentral.